GUGGGGAAUUUUGGACAAUGGGCGCAAGCCUGAUCCAGCAAUGCCGCGUGCAGGAAGAAGGCCUUCGGGUUGUAAACUGCUUUUGUACGGAACGAAAAGGCUCUGGUUAAUACCUGGGGCUCAUGACGGUACCGUAAGAAUAAGCACCGGCUAACUACGUGCCAGCAGCCGCGGUAAUACGUAGGGUGCAAGCGUUAAUCGGAAUUACUGGGCGUAAAGCGUGCGCAGGCGGUUUUGUAAGACAGACGUGAAAUCCCCGGGCUCAACCUGGGAAUGGCGUUUGGAACUGCAAAGCUGGAGUGCGGCAGAGGGGGAUGGAAUUCCGCGUGUAGCAGUGAAAUGCGUAGAUAUGCGGAGGAACACCGAUGGCGAAGGCAAUCCCCUGGGCCUGCACUGACGCUCAUGCACGAAAGCGUGGGGAGCAAACAGGAUUAGAUACCCCGGUAGUCC
RNAcentral lists this ribosomal RNA (450 nucleotides) under uncultured bacterium. RNAcentral describes it as "partial 16S ribosomal RNA". It matches the Rfam family "Bacterial small subunit ribosomal RNA", at positions 354 to 796 of the family's 1533-position model. The record is from RNAcentral.